This 252-nucleotide long non-coding RNA is filed under the name Medicago truncatula (barrel medic). Its description in RNAcentral is "long non-coding RNA (MTRU_LNC005271)". The record is from RNAcentral. Lineage: Eukaryota; Viridiplantae; Streptophyta; Magnoliopsida; Fabales; Fabaceae.
AAGAAAACACAGUUGAAUUUAUAAACUUUAUAUAAGUGAAAUUUCAUUGUAUAUUUAACCGUCUAGAUUCAUCGAAGAAUUAAUGUAUUUGGUUGAUAAUAUAAACUAAAUACAUUAGAUAUUUUAUGAAUCUAAAUAAAAAGAAAUUCUUAGAGUGGGAGAAUGAAUUUAAAGCUUAUGGAUAAUGGUUGUUGUAAACCAAACGAUGUUCAUUUUGAUGAUGUAAAGGGGGGUUCGUGCGACAGAGUUGUG